RNA transcript from Grammomys surdaster, 1097 nucleotides. It is a transcript of the gene named charged multivesicular body protein 3 pseudogene, with no coding region annotated. The record is from RefSeq and is a predicted model, not a curated record. The transcript has a single exon. NCBI's taxonomy places the organism in Eukaryota, Metazoa, Chordata, Mammalia, Rodentia, Muridae.
ACCUGCCUGGGCGUAGGGAACAGAAAGUCGGAAGGGGUAAGAGGAGUUCAGUUCAUCAUGGGGCUGUUUGGAAAAACCAAGGAGAAGCCUCCCAAAGAGCUGUUUAAUGAAUGGUCACUGAAGAUCAGAAAGGAAAUGAGAGUUGUUGACAGGCAAAUAAGAGAUAUCCAAAGAGAAGAAGAGAAAGUAAAACGGUCUGUGAAAGAUGCAGCCAAGAAGGGCCAAAAGGAAGUCUGUGUGGUUCUGGCCAAGGAGCUGAUCAGGUCAAGGAAGGCUGUGAGCAAGCUCUAUGCAUCCAAAGCACACAUGAACUCUGUGCUCAUGGGCAUGAAGAAUCAACUUGAGGUCCUAAGAGUAGCUGGUUCUCUGCAGAAGAGCACAGAAGUGAUGAAGGCAAUGCAGAGUCUUGUGAAGAUCCCAGCAAUCCAGGCAACCAUUCGGGAGCUGUCCAAAGAGAUGAUGAAGGCUGGAAUCACAGAGGAGAUGUUAGAGGAUACAUUUGAAAGCAUGGAUGAUCAAGAAGAAAUGGAAGCAGCAGCAGAAAUGGAGAUUGACAGAAUCCUCUUUGAAAUCAUAGCAGGAGCCUUGGGCAAAGCACCCAGUAAAGUAACUGAUGCCCUUCCUGAGCCUGAACCUGCAGGAGCAGUGGCUGCCUCAGAAGAGGGAGAAGAGGAGGAGGAUGAAGAGGACCUGGAAGCUAUGCAGUCACAGAUGGCCACACUCAGAAUCUAGGGCCACCCAAUUGGGAUCUCAGAUCUCUGGUAUCCUCUUCUAGGUGUGUAUAUGGCCUCUGAGGAGUCACCAUUUCCUGUGUCUCUUGCACUACACCUCUGUUGUGAAGCAUUACAUUUGGAGAGGGUUCUAUGCUGGUAUAUCUUCACUGUCUGCAGAGGAUUUAAGGAUUGUUUUUAUGAAGGUGGUGUAAUCAAAUGUAUUAUUUUCAGGAGCAUAAAUAGCAGCAGUAUCUUCCUGGGGGAGGGCAAAGAAACCCAUCUUCUCAUGAAACAACUCUGAGAAGAGUAGAUUGAAUGCCAAGGACUUUAUAUUUGGUGUGUAUGUGUAAAAUACUAUAUAAGUGGAUGUCAAUAAACUUCUCC